GGAGGGAUCAUUACCGAGUUUACAACUCCCAAACCCCUGUGAACAUACCUAUACGUUGCCUCGGCGGAUCAGCCCGCGCCCCGUAAAAAGGGACGGCCCGCCCGAGGACCCCUAAACUCUGUUUUUAGUGGAACUUCUGAGUAAAACAAACAAAUAAAUCAAAACUUUCAACAACGGAUCUCUUGGUUCUGGCAUCGAUGAAGAACGCAGCAAAAUGCGAUAAGUAAUGUGAAUUGCAGAAUUCAGUGAAUCAUCGAAUCUUUGAACGCACAUUGCGCCCGCCAGUAUUCUGGCGGGCAUGCCUGUUCGAGCGUCAUUUCAACCCUCAAGCUCAGCUUGGUGUUGGGACUCGCGGUAACCCGCGUUCCCCAAAUCGAUUGGCGGUCACGUCGAGCUUCCAUAGCGUAGUAAUCAUACACCUCGUUACUGGUAAUCGUCGCGGCCACGCCGUAAAACCCCAACUUCUGAAUGUUGACCUCGGAUCAGGUAGG
Molecule: ribosomal RNA, 491 nt
Filed under: Fusarium sp. FSU9302
Lineage: Eukaryota; Fungi; Ascomycota; Sordariomycetes; Hypocreales; Nectriaceae
Also listed under: 1 other name
Description: eukaryotic LSU rRNA
Rfam family: 5.8S ribosomal RNA (bases 163-316)
Source: RNAcentral